AACGAACGCUGGCGGCAUGCCUAACACAUGCAAGUCGAACGAGACCUUCCGGUCUAGUGGCGCACGGGUGCGUAACGCGUGGGAACCUGCCCUUAGGUUCGGAAUAACUCCCCGAAAGGUAUGCUAAUACCGGAUAAUGUCUUCGGACCAAAGAUUUAUCGCCUUUGGAUGGGCGCGCGUUGGAUUAGUUAGUUGGUAGGGUAAAAGCCUAACAAGGCGACGAUCCAUAGCUGGUCGGUUAAUAGGAUCAGGCAGACUGGGACUGAGACACGGCCCAGACCCCUAGGAAGGGCUGCAGGGGAGAGAAUUAGAGGAUGGACGCAAGCCUGAGACAGCAAUGCCGCGUGAGUAAUUAAGCCGUUAGUGUUGUCAAGAUGUUUUAGACGGGAUGAUAAUGACGGUAACGGGAAAAUAAGCACCGGCUAACUCCGUG
RNAcentral lists this ribosomal RNA (433 nucleotides) under uncultured bacterium. RNAcentral describes it as "partial 16S ribosomal RNA". It matches the Rfam family "Bacterial small subunit ribosomal RNA", at positions 29 to 507 of the family's 1533-position model. The record is from RNAcentral.